Molecule: long non-coding RNA, 227 nt
Organism: Acyrthosiphon pisum (pea aphid)
Lineage: Eukaryota; Metazoa; Arthropoda; Insecta; Hemiptera; Aphididae
Exons: 3
Source: RefSeq, a predicted model, not a curated record
UGAUACACCGCGGUGAGGACCACUGUGCUAACUGCUAACCAACUAGUAUUGUAGUUACGAAAACUAACAUCGAUCUACUAACUCAAAUUAUUAAUUUUGAUGGAGAUGAAGUCAAUAAUGAAACUGAUUUUUCGACGGAAGCGAAUAUGACCUUAGUUCGAUUUCAGUACCUAUUUAUUGUGUUCGAAAUUCGCUUCCAUAACUAAUAGAUGGUAUGGGACGUUAUA